RNAcentral lists this ribosomal RNA (497 nucleotides) under uncultured bacterium. Its description in RNAcentral is "partial 16S ribosomal RNA". It matches the Rfam family "Bacterial small subunit ribosomal RNA", at positions 28 to 507 of the family's 1533-position model. The record is from RNAcentral.
GAUGAACGCUGGCGGCGUGCCUAAUACAUGCAAGUCGAGCGGACGGACGAUAAGCGUGCUUCUCUGAUGGUAGCGGCGGACGGGUGAGUAACACGUGGAUCACCUACCUAUAAUACUGGGAGAACUUCGGGAAACCGGAGCUAAUACCGGCUGAUAUUUUGAACCGCAUGGUUCAAAAGUGAAAGACGGUCUUGCUGUCACUUAUAGAUGGAGCCGCGCUGCAUUAGCUAGUUGGUAAGGUAAUGGCUUACCAAGGCAACGAUGCGUAGCCGACCUGAGAGGGUGAUCGGCCACACUGGAACUGAGACACGGUCCAGACUCCUACGGGAGGCAGCAGUAGGGAAUCUUCGGCAAUGGGCGAAAGCCUGACGGAGCAACGCCGCGUGAGUGAUGAAGGUCUUCGGAUCGUAAAACCCUGUUAUUAGGGAAGAACAGAUGUGUGAGUAAAUGUGGCCAUCUUGACGGUACCUAAUCAGAAAGCCACGGCUAACUACGUG